RNAcentral lists this long non-coding RNA (672 nucleotides) under Equus caballus (horse). RNAcentral's name for it is "lncRNA (ENSECAG00000043183.2)". The record is from RNAcentral. Lineage: Eukaryota; Metazoa; Chordata; Mammalia; Perissodactyla; Equidae.
AUGCACCUCAAUCAUGCUCCCAGCGUUCCCGAACCCAGCCAGGUGCACACAUUUUCCGGACCAUCAGGGUCUAUCUUAGAAAGCCAGACGGCUUUCUCCUUAAGUAUCUGAACUGCACUUUCCCUUGACCACAGGCCACAAUCCAGGCACAAGAGGAUGCAUUAGCUAUUACUCAGGCUCUGCCUUGGCCUGCAAGGAGGAUGCCUAUGGCAAUUCUAUCAUCCAUACAACUCCAGGCCGGGAAAUCAGUUGAGAUUACUGCAGCUCCCUGGGCGAAAAGUGACAGCAGCCUGGACCAGAGUGAUACCUUGAAUGUGUGGAGAAGACACGAUUGACAGCACUUGUUGAAAGAUUGGAAGUCGCCACAAGGAAGAGAGAGGAAGGAGAGCCGACCUCAGGAUCCUGAGGAAAAGGUCAGGAGACCUGCCCUGCAAAGAGAGAUCAUGAAUUUAAUUUUCAGAAAGGGAACUAAAACACACUUGAUCCAUGCAACCUCUCGCGGCUUAUAGAUCAAAAUGGGAAGAAUGCAAAGAUUAGCACGGCCCCUUCACGUGGCUAGUUCACACAUUUGUGAUGUGUAAUCAAUAAAAAAAGCUGAUCGCACUCCAAAAAGAAAAGUAUAAAGAAAAAACAAACUAAAAUAAAUAUUGUCACUAAGAAAGAUUAAAGGGG